UUAAAAGGCGCUUCGGCGUCACCUAGAGAUGGAUCCGCGGUGCAUUAGUUAGUUGGUGGGGUAAAGGCCUACCAAGACAAUGAUGCAUAGCCGAGUUGAGAGACUGAUCGGCCACAUUGGGACUGAGACACGGCCCAAACUCCUACGGGAGGCUGCAGUAGGGAAUCUUCCACAAUGGGCGAAAGCCUGAUGGAGCAACGCCGCGUGUGUGAUGAAGGCUUUCGGGUCGUAAAGCACUGUUGUAUGGGAAGAACAGCUAGAAUAGGAAAUGAUUUUAGUUUGACGGUACCAUACCAGAAAGGGACGGCUAAAUACGUGCCAGCAGCCGCGGUAAUACGUAUGUCCCGAGCGUUAUCCGGAUUUAUUGGGCGUAAAGCGAGCGCAGACGGUUUAUUAAGUCUGAUGUGAAAGCCCGGAGCUCAACUCCGGAAUGGCAUUGGAAACUGGUUAACUUGAGUGCAGUAGAGGUAAGUGGAACUCCAUGUGUAGCGGUGGAAUGCGUAGAUAUAUGGAAGAACACCAGUGGCGAAGGCGGCUUACUGGACUGCAACUGACG
RNAcentral lists this ribosomal RNA (556 nucleotides) under uncultured bacterium. RNAcentral's name for it is "bacterial SSU rRNA". It matches the Rfam family "Bacterial small subunit ribosomal RNA", at positions 200 to 745 of the family's 1533-position model. The record is from RNAcentral.